CCAACGGCCCUCAUUAGGGCCACAAAUGCAUAAAUCAAGUUGUCC
Enterobius vermicularis (human pinworm) is the source of this 45-nucleotide non-coding RNA. Lineage: Eukaryota; Metazoa; Nematoda; Chromadorea; Rhabditida; Oxyuridae. The record is from Rfam.